UGAAGAUUGGGUCCGUUUUACUACAGUUGAGUGAAGGUUUCCCAUGAAGAAUCAAUUUUUAGCCUUUUCGGUUAACGGCAAUUUUCCUUCAUUUCUGGAGCACCGUCAUCAUUUCUGGACAAGGAAUCUCAGGUAAGCGUAUUUAACUUCUUUACAAAGCAGAUAGAUAACUGUCAUAUAGCUAAAAUCAUUUUGGUAGUUCCCAUCGAAUUACAGUACUGUCUAGCAAGCCAGCUAACGUUAGCUCAAACGUUAGAAAGCUACAAUACAGUAAGUCAACUACUAACUAGCUUGGUUGGCAACUUUUUUCAAAUAUAGAUGAAGAUCGAGUCACCUCACAGGUACUCAGUAAAGAUUUUUACUAUGAGUUCCACAAGUAAUGAUUCAACAAGAUAUUUG
Long non-coding RNA from Esox lucius (northern pike), 399 nucleotides. Lineage: Eukaryota; Metazoa; Chordata; Actinopteri; Esociformes; Esocidae. The record is from Ensembl.